GGUCUGAGAGGAUGAUCAGUCACACUGGAACUGAGACACGGUCCAGACUCCUACGGGAGGCAGCAGUGGGGAAUAUUGGACAAUGGGCGAAAGCCUGAUCCAGCCAUGCCGCGUGUGUGAAGAAGGUCUUCGGAUUGUAAAGCACUUUAAGUUGGGAGGAAGGGCAGUAAGUUAAUACCUUGCUGUUUUGACGUUACCAACAGAAUAAGCACCGGCUAACUUCGUGCCAGCAGCCGCGGUAAUACGAAGGGUGCAAAGCGUUAAUCGGAAUUACUGGGCGUAAAGCGCGCGUAGGUGGUUCAGCAAGUUGGAUGUGAAAUCCCCGGGCUCAACCUGGGAACUGCAUCCAAAACU
Molecule: ribosomal RNA, 354 nt
Filed under: bacterium LimC-1-J-41
Lineage: Bacteria
Description: bacterial SSU rRNA
Rfam family: Bacterial small subunit ribosomal RNA
Source: RNAcentral